Molecule: RNA transcript, 3755 nt
Organism: Sorghum bicolor (sorghum)
Lineage: Eukaryota; Viridiplantae; Streptophyta; Magnoliopsida; Poales; Poaceae
Gene name: C2 and GRAM domain-containing protein At1g03370
Exons: 10
Source: RefSeq, a predicted model, not a curated record
CCGGGAUCCUCGCAUGACGAAGCAGGCGACGAGCGCGUCGACGGUGUCGGAGGCGGCGGAGAGCGCGCGGCGGGUGACGCCGAUGAAGCUGCUGGUGCGCGUGGUGGAGGCGCGGGGCCUCCCCGCCGUGCACCUCAACGGCUCCAGCGACCCCUUCGUGAAGCUCAAGCUGGGGAAGCGCCGCGCCAAGACGGCCGUCGUGAAGCGCAGCCUGGCCCCCGCGUGGGACGAGGAGUUCAGCUUCCUCGUCGGCGACGUCGCCGAGGAGCUGGUGGUGUCGGUGCUCAACGAGGACAAGUACUUCAGCAACGACCUGCUGGGCCUGGUCCGCCUGCCGCUGUCGCAGGUCAUGGAGACCGACGACCUCUCCCUCGGCACCCAGUGGUACCAGCUCCAGCCCAAGAGCAAGAAAUCCAAGAAGAAAUGCCGCGGAGAAGUUUGUCUGCACGUAUCAUUGUCCACAAGAACCCACGUAUCUGACGAGUCACAGAGUGUUCCUCAUCCUGCUUCAGAUGACUUAGCAUCCAGUUCAGACAGCCCCAUUGAGCGCAAAACAUUAUCGACAACAUGUAGCUGCAUCGACCUAUCAGCUGUUUCCAGCAUCGAACCCCGAGCAUCUCACAGCAGCUUCGAACGAUUCCCGGACAGCAUUCUGGAUCUUCCAGCCCGGAGUAGCGUGGAAGAAUUAGCAACCUCUGAACCUGGACCAGCAGCAGCUGCAGACACUGAUGUGACGCCAAAUCCGUCAUCGGUGGUAGAGGUCUUGUCCCGCUAUUUCUUCAGGAAACCUGAGAAUGCUACUCCAAAUGUGCACCCGACUACAUCAGACACUGAUCAGACAGUUGAUCAUCAGUUGCAAGAGCCAAACGUGAGCUCAUCAGAAGAUCGUGAAAUCCCUGAGAAAGGCACGGUGGUGCCUGAGUCGAGCCUUGAUGAGCUGCUCAAAGUCAUGGAGUCGAAAGAUCAAGGCAGUGAGAUGCCAGCUAACUUGCCUGGUGGUGUGCUGGUUGACGAAUCUUAUGUCGCCGCGCCGACCGAGUUGAACUCUCUCCUGUUCUCGCCGAAUUCAGAUUUCUGGCCAGCAGUGGCAGAGCUUCAAGGAACAAGUGGGUUUCAGAUUGAACCAUGGAAACUUGACAGCAAUGAGAGCUGUGUGCAAAGAACAUUGACUUACACAAAAGCUGCAAGCAAGUUGGUUAAAGCUGUGAAAGCCACAGAAGAACAGAAGUACCUGAAAGCGGCCGCAAAUUCUUACGCGGUGUUUUCUGUUGUCAGCACUCCUGAUGUUCCCUGCGGAAAUUGCUUUAAGGUGGAGAUACUGUACUGUAUCACACCAGGUCCCCAUCUGUCAUCUGAAGAGCAAACAUCUCAUCUUACUGUUAGCUGGAGGGUAAACUUUGUUCAGAGCACAAUGAUAAAAGGAAUGAUUGAGAACGGUGCAAAACAAGGCAUGGCCGAGGGUUAUGCCCAAUUCUCUGAAGUACUAAACCAGAAGCUUAAAGUAGCCGAGCUUGAUGAUGCUAAUUCAAACAAAGAAAAGAUUUUAGCUUCAUUACAUGCCCAAAAGGAAUCAGGUUGGCGGUUGAUUGUCCGCUUUCUCGGGAACUUCACAUUCAUAUUCUCUGUUGCCAUAGCACUAUAUGUUAUAGCACACCUUCAUUUGUCCAAGCCCGAUGUGACGCAUGGGCUUGAGUAUUUUGGUCUUGACCUUCCAGAUUCAAUUGGGGAGGUUGUAGUUUGUGCAGUUUUAAUUCUUCAGGGGCAGAGCAUUGUCAAAGUAACACGGCGCUUCUUAAGUGCAUGGAAACAAAGAGGCAGUGACCAUGGGGUCAAAGCUCACGGUGAUGGUUGGUUGUUGACUGUUGCACUCAUCGAAGCCACUGGUAUUACAGCUACUGGUUCAUCUGACCUAUUUGAUCUCUAUGUUGUUUUUACAUGCAAUGCUAAGAGGAAAACAAGCUCAAUUAAAUUUCAGACAUCAGAUCCAAAAUGGAACGAGAUAUUCGAAUUUGAUGCUAUGGAUGAUCCUCCAUCAAGGAUGGACGUUGCUCUUUAUGAUUCGAGUGGGCAAUGUGUCAUUGGUCACACAGAAGUCAACUUUUUGAAAAACAAUUUGUCAGAAUUAACUGACAUAUGGCUUCCUCUCAAUGGGAAAUGUGAUCAAGCAAGUAACCCUAAAUUGCAUUUGAGAAUAUUUUUGAACAACUCGAGGGGGACUGAAGUUGUCAUGAAUUACCUAGCAAAGAUGGGAAAAGAAGUUGGUAAGAAGAUAAAUUUGCGGUCAACCCAAACAAAUGUAGCAUUCCGAAAGCUGUUUGCCCUCCCUCCAGAAGAGUUUCUCAUCGACGAUUUCACCUGCCAUCUGAAACGGAAGAUGCCACUUCAGGGCCGCCUCUUUUUCUCUCCAAGAAUAGUUGGAUUUUAUUCCAACAUAUUUGGACACAAAACCAAGUUUUUCUUUUUGUGGGAGGACGUCGAUGACAUCCAGGUUAUCCCUGCUACACUGUCCAUCGGUAGCCCGUCUUUGAUGAUCCUCCUUCGAAAGGAUAGAGGUUUAGAAGCAAAACAUGGUGCCAAGGGAACAGAUCAUCAUGGAAGACUCAAAUUUAUUUUUCAAUCUUUUGUUUCCUUCAAUGAUGCUUACAGGAUAAUCACAGCAAUUUGGAAAAUUCGAGCACUCAGUCCAGAACAGAAGGGGGAGGCGAUUGAAAAAGACGAAGUGAAAGAACUGCUGCCUGAAGAAUGCGGAUCCUUGUUCACUAAUGCGGAUGUUAAAAUGUCUGAAAUAUUUUCAUCAGUUCUUUCUGUUGAUGUUGAGUCCUUGAUGGAGAUGUUUUCAGGAGGUCCCCUGGAGCACAAAAUGAUGCAAAAGGCCGGCUGUGUAGACUACACUGCCACACAAUGGGAACUUGUAGGAUGCAAUAUACAGCAGCGGCAAACAAGCUACAAGUUUGACAAAAACUUGUCUCGGUACGGAGGAGAAGCGACCACCACUGAACAGAAGUAUAGCUUGGUCAACCAAGAUGGCUGGGCCAUUGAAAAGGUGAUGACCCUCCAAGGUGUUCUACUUGCAGACUACUUCAAUCUCCAGAUGAAGUACUUUAUCACGAAUAUACCUUCGAAACCAAAUACCUGCAGUAUCCUGGUUUUGUUGGGGAUUGCCUGGUUAAAGAGUACCAAGCAAAAGAAGAAGGUCACGAAGACUAUUAUUUCCAAUACCUCAAAUAGAUUGAAGGAACUCUUUGCUGAAGUCGAGAAGGAGCUUACAUCAAGAAGCGGUAGCCUUCUUAAUGCAGCAACUGGUCCCACUACUACUUAAAUGUUAUCAAUAUCACAUACAAAAAGUAUUACAAAAUUCACAUCAAAGCAAUUCCAGGGAGUGCCCCAAAAUUAACUAGCAUGCAGGUACAAGCUAACAUCCGUACAGCACCAAAAGUAGAUUGGCCAUUGCAUGAAUCAAAUGUAUAUGAAGAACCGAGCACAGUGGAUAGCUUUUUUGUGAUAUCUUCCUGUUCACGGUGUGACCUGCUUCAGCGCUCUUGCAUUGCCGGUAGAAAUCUUACAGAGAUGAGAGCUAUAAGUGCUUUAAUGUAAAUAGAUUGUUUCAGGAACGCUUCGCAGAAAGUGGUGCGCAGAGUUGUGUAUGUCCAGCUGACAUAUAUAGUUAAAGGACUGUAACUUUCGCUCAUGGAUGUAAAAUAGAAAAACGUGGGGGAAAAUAUGCAAGAUCAAAUUCAGAGUAUGCUUUGUCUUUU